GAUGAAGAACGUAGCGAAAUGCGAUAAGUAAUGUGAAUUGCAGAAUUCAGUGAAUCAUCGAAUCUUUGAACGCACAUUGCGCCCAUCAGUAUUCUGGUGGGCAUGCCUGUUCGAGCGUCAUUUCAACCCCUAAGCACAGCUUACUGUUGGGACUCUACGGCCUCCGUAGUUCCCCAAAGCCAUUGGCGGAGUGGCAGUAGUCCUCUGAGCGUAGUAAUUCUUUAUCUCGCUUUUGUUAGGUGCUGCCCCCCCGGCCGUUAAACCCCCCAAUUUUUUUCUGGUUGACCUCGGAUCAGGUAGGAAUACCCGCUGAACUUAAGCAUAUCAAUAAGCGGAGGA
Molecule: unclassified non-coding RNA, 339 nt
Filed under: soil metagenome
Description: partial contains 5.8S ribosomal RNA, internal transcribed spacer 2, and large subunit ribosomal RNA
Rfam family: 5.8S ribosomal RNA (bases 1-120)
Source: RNAcentral